RNAcentral lists this ribosomal RNA (253 nucleotides) under uncultured bacterium. RNAcentral describes it as "partial 16S ribosomal RNA". It matches the Rfam family "Bacterial small subunit ribosomal RNA", at positions 524 to 776 of the family's 1533-position model. The record is from RNAcentral.
UACGUAGGGUGCGAGCGUUAAUCGGAAUUACUGGGCGUAAAGCGUGCGUAGGCGGUUCGUUAAGUUCGUUGUGAAAGCCCCGGGCUCAACCUGGGAACUGCAAUGGAAACUGGCGGGCUUGAGUGUGGCAGAGGGGGGUGGAAUUCCGCGUGUAGCAGUGAAAUGCGUAGAGAUGCGGAGGAACACCGGUGGCGAAGGCGGCAUCCUGGACCAAUUCUGACGCUGAGGAGCGAAAGCCAGGGGAGCAAACGGG